RNAcentral lists this ribosomal RNA (460 nucleotides) under uncultured bacterium. RNAcentral's name for it is "partial 16S ribosomal RNA". It matches the Rfam family "Bacterial small subunit ribosomal RNA", at positions 338 to 795 of the family's 1533-position model. The record is from RNAcentral.
CCUACGGGGAGCAGCAGUGAGGAAUCUUGGUCAAUGGGCGCGAGCCUGAACCAGCCAAGUAGCGUGAAGGAUGACUGCCCUACUGGUUGUAAACUUCUUUUAUAAAGGAAUAAAGUGAGGCACGUGUGCCUUUUUGUAUGUACUUUAUGAAUACGGAUCGGCUAACUCCGUGCCAGCAGCUGCGGUAAUACGGAGGAUCCGAGCGUUAUCCGGAUUUAUUGGGUUUAAAGGGAGCGUAGAUGGGUUGUUAAGUCAGUUGUGAAAGUUUGCGGCGCAACCGUAAAAUUGCAAUUGAUACUGGCAGACUUGAGUACAGAUGAGGUAGGCGGAAUUCGUGGUGUAGCGGUGAAAUGCGUAGAUAUCACGAAGAACUCCGAUUGCGAAGGCAGAUUGCUAAACUGCCACUGACAUUGAUGCUCGAAAGUGUGGGUAUCAAACAGGAUUAGAUACCCGAGUAGUC